Molecule: long non-coding RNA, 734 nt
Organism: Microplitis demolitor
Lineage: Eukaryota; Metazoa; Arthropoda; Insecta; Hymenoptera; Braconidae
Exons: 3
Source: RefSeq, a predicted model, not a curated record
AAUUUUUUAAUUUAAUAAGUUUUUUGUUUCAUUGAUUUACGAAUCAUGAUUAAGUCAACUGAGAUCAUAGAGAUUGAAGAAAGUGGUGAAGAAAACAUAUGUAAGCUCACGGAGGAAGAGUUUUUUGAUUUAGACGAUAUUUUUUCGGUUUCCUCUUUAUUCUCAGGUUUAUAUUUGGUGGUAGGAGGUCAGAUAUUUUGGGAUUCCCAGCAGGCAUUAAGUUAUGAAAAAGCUUAUUUCAAUAAUGGAGCGAUGAUAGGUGUUGUUGCAUCUUUUACUUGGAAUUCAGCACCAUAUCAUCCAUUUCUCGAUAUAGACUGAAAAUAUAGAUGUAAAAUUUUCUCUCUAUUCGGCAUAAAUCAAAUAAUCAUGGCUAUUCUAUCAUUUUUUAUUUUGUACCUAUAUUACCUCAUGCCCGAAGAGGAUUUCAUAAAGACAUGUGGAUGGGAAUGUCCAUUACGAUUUUUUAUGAAAGGCAUGAGUUUGAGUUUUUGUGUUACAUUUCCGGUAUGUUAUUGUGUAUUAUGGUUGUGUUAUAGAUUUACAAAAUUCACGUUGCCACUAAUAUUUAUUUCGGAUUUUUUUCCCUCUUUGGUUUCCGAGGAAACCUAUUGUUCAUGUAAGAGCUGUCAGAGUUUCAUGACAGAGCCCGAACUUGGCCUAGGAUUGGACCAAGAUUUAAUUAAGAAAUAAAUCGCAUUCAUGUUUAUAAUAAAUGUUAUUCUUAAUAAUGG